Molecule: ribosomal RNA, 292 nt
Filed under: uncultured bacterium
Lineage: Bacteria
Description: partial 16S ribosomal RNA
Rfam family: Bacterial small subunit ribosomal RNA
Source: RNAcentral
GUGUCAGCCGCCGCGGUAAUACGGGGGGGGCAAGCGUUGUUCGGAAUUACUGGGCGUAAAGGGCUCGUAGGCGGCCAUCUAAGUCAGACGUGAAAUCCCUCGGCUUAACCGGGGAACGGCGUCUGAUACUGGACGGCUUGAAUCCGGGAGAGGGAUGCGGAAUUCCAGGUGUAGCGGUGAAAUGCGUAGAUAUCUGGAGGAACACCGGUGGCGAAGGCGGCAUCCUGGACCGGCAUUGACGCUGAGGAGCGAAAGCCAGGGGAGCAAACGGGAUUAGAUACCCCUGUAGUCC